CCUCAUCCAACUAUCGGCCGCGCAUUGCCACUUUCGGCACAACCACCUCAACGUCGGCCUCAACACCGCCUCAAAACCUAACACCACCACGAAGUUAAAACCAGCAGCUCCCUUGCUUACAAGCAAAAAACUCAUUUUGCUUGUAGAAGCUCAGAAAAAUGGCUCCGAUUUCUUCAACAGUAACAUUGGAAUAAUUGAACGUGUCUCGGAACGGUUUUAGUUUUUUUUUGUUGUCCUUUGCCACAUUUCCAAUUAUUAUGAACAAGAACUUAUCAACAGCUAAAAUUGAGACUCACAAUUAUUCAAGGAUGACACAGAGUCUAAAAACAAUGAGCUUAAAUCAGAUACAGAAGUUUACGUUGAUAACAACACAUUUAAAUUUUAUCUGAGAAAAUAAAAAAUGAGGUAAAAAUUUCAAAAUCGUAAACCAAAAAUUUCUCCUGGAAUUGGGGAAUACUAUGAAUUAAGUUGCCAAAAUCUUUCAUAUACCGCAGCAGCAAGUUACUCGAGGACAGCGACUAAAUAAAUCUAAGAACCGACACCGACACGUUCAACGUACUUCCCAGCCUUGAGAAAACAGGCGAUACGGAAUUGGAGGCCACCUUGCUGCUCCCAGACGUAGCCUUCUCUGCGGCUUCAGAUCCAAGCGUUUCACACCAACCCAUCAUCUGUUAUGAAGAAUUGCAUGUAAAAGUAUUUAAUUCGUUCAUGUUUUGAGAGUGUGUGUGUGUGUGCGCGCAAAAUCAAUUGUAAUGAACUUAAUGGUAGUGCCUAGUUUUAAGGUUGACGUUGAGAUCGCGGUACCAGUGACGACAAUGGUGUUUGACAGCUGCGUGGGGGUGGUUGUGGUUUUAGGAUGAAGGAUUGGGGAAUAAUGAGAUCGGGGGAGGGGUCGUUGUGGUUGUGGUUGUGGUUGUGGUUGUGGUUGUGAUUGUG
This 936-nucleotide long non-coding RNA is filed under the name Olea europaea subsp. europaea. Lineage: Eukaryota; Viridiplantae; Streptophyta; Magnoliopsida; Lamiales; Oleaceae. The record is from RNAcentral.